This 662-nucleotide ribosomal RNA is filed under the name Elphidium sp. S1. RNAcentral describes it as "SSU rRNA". It matches the Rfam family "Eukaryotic small subunit ribosomal RNA", at positions 1282 to 1770 of the family's 1831-position model. Lineage: Eukaryota; Foraminifera; Rotaliida; Elphidiidae. The record is from RNAcentral.
GCAUGGCCGUUCUUAGGUUCGGUGGAGUGAUCUGUCUGCUUAAUUGCGUUUCAAUUUUUAUUAUGUAUACGUAUGACCCACGUUUACGCGUGCGAGUCUAGUAUGCUAUCAUUUGAAAGCAACGAACGUGACCGUAUCCUUUUAUUAUAUACGCACGCGUAUAUUUAUUCAUUAAAGGGACCGCUGUUUCUUUUUUUAAACCAGAGGAAGGUUACGGCAAUAACAGGUCUGUGAUGCCCUUCGAUGUUCCGGGCUGCACACGUGCUACAAUGAUUAUUUCAUUAAGUAUCUACUAUACUGCACAUUAUGUGUAUUAAAACCUACCCUGAGAAUGGGCGGGUAAUCAAUUAGAAGUAAUGAUUUCCUUUUUUUUAUACGCAACUAUGUACCGUAUAUUACAUCCCAUAAUAUUUUUUUAUUAUGCGUGUGUGUUUUAUUACCGUGUACGCGUAAUUGUUAAUUCAUGGUGGGGAUAGACCAUUGUUAAUUGUUGGUCUCGGUCUUAACUAGGAAUGCCUUGUACGGGUCAUUGGUUCAACAAACCACCCGGAAUACGUCCCUGCCCUUUGUACACACCGCCCGUCGCUCUUACCGAUGAACUUCGCUAUGAAUCUCUUGGACUGUAUCCUUUAAUGAAUACGGAAAGAUAUAUGAAUAGUGUG